This 251-nucleotide long non-coding RNA is filed under the name Salvia miltiorrhiza (redroot sage). RNAcentral's name for it is "long non-coding RNA (SMIL_LNC012616)". The record is from RNAcentral. Lineage: Eukaryota; Viridiplantae; Streptophyta; Magnoliopsida; Lamiales; Lamiaceae.
GUGAAUCUGCUCUGUUUUGUGUUUUUUCCGCUGCAUUUGUGAUUCUGUGAAGGCAUCUUAGUGUUUGGUCUCGGUGUUUAGCUUUGUUGUGUCCUGCUGUGAUAGAUUGGUAUGGCGUCUUUCUUUGGUAUGGCUCCUUUUGAUGGAAAAUCCGAUUUUAGUAUCUGGAAGUAGAAGAUGAAGUGCAUUUUAAUUCAGCAACAUGUGUUUAAGGCUGUUGAUCAUUCAUAUGCUGAUAAUGAGACUGAAGA